ACAGAUUGGGCGUCUCAGGAAGGUUCAGUACAACCGAGGCCUGAACAUGCGUAUGAUCCAUUUGAAGCAGCCUAAAUAAAGGCGAGCGAAUGGGACGUCUCAGGAAGGUUCAGUACAAACGAGGCCUGAACGUUUAUUUGAAUAAAGGACGAGAUAAAAAUCUUAAUAACUGUAUUGACUCCUGAUUGAAUGUAAG
This is a long non-coding RNA of Hippoglossus stenolepis (Pacific halibut), 196 nucleotides long. RefSeq lists it as uncharacterized. NCBI's taxonomy places the organism in Eukaryota, Metazoa, Chordata, Actinopteri, Pleuronectiformes, Pleuronectidae. The record is from RefSeq and is a predicted model, not a curated record. The transcript has 3 exons.